AAAUUGAAGAGUUUGAUCAUGGCUCAGAUUGAACGCUGGCGGCAGGCCUAACACAUGCAAGUCGAACGGUAACAGGAAUCAGCUUGCUGAUUCGCUGACGAGUGGCGGACGGGUGAGUAAUGUCUGGGAAACUGCCUGAUGGAGGGGGAUAACUACUGGAAACGGUAGCUAAUACCGCAUAACGUCGCAAGACCAAAGAGGGGACCUUCGGGCCUCUUGCCAUCGGAUGUGCCCAGAUGGGAUUAGCUAGUAGGUGGGGUAACGGCUCACCUAGGCGACGAUCCCUAGCUGGUCUGAGAGGAUGACCAGCCACACUGGAACUGAGACACGGUCCAGACUCCUACGGGAGGCAGCAGUGGGGAAUAUUGCACAAUGGGCGCAAGCCUGAUGCAGCCAUGCCGCGUGUAUGAAGAAGGCCUUCGGGUUGUAAAGUACUUUCAGCGGGGAGGAAGGGAGUAAAGUUAAUACCUUU
Molecule: ribosomal RNA, 472 nt
Filed under: Escherichia coli
Lineage: Bacteria; Pseudomonadati; Pseudomonadota; Gammaproteobacteria; Enterobacterales; Enterobacteriaceae
Description: bacterial SSU rRNA
Rfam family: Bacterial small subunit ribosomal RNA
Source: RNAcentral